Molecule: long non-coding RNA, 974 nt
Organism: Anguilla rostrata (American eel)
Lineage: Eukaryota; Metazoa; Chordata; Actinopteri; Anguilliformes; Anguillidae
Exons: 4
Source: RefSeq, a predicted model, not a curated record
GGACCUUCUUGCUGUGAGCUGACAGUGCUACUCCUGCACCAAUUAUUCAAAUUGAAUAAUUCAAAUCUUAAGUUGACAAACCUUUCAAGUAGCCUUCAUUUAUAAACUCACCCCUCCUGCAAACCCGUUUGUUGUUCGCAGAGCAAAACGUUGAUUGUACUUCAGAGUCUCACCCACUGGACUUCCAUCCACACUGGAUAUUUUGUUUGAGAAGACCUGUUUUCUGAAUGAAUUUCAUAUUGGGCUCCGUUCGAGGAAUGCAAAUUUCAGGAAGUGUCCGCGAGAUCUACGCAGAUUCUGUAGCAAAGUGUGAGCUGAUAUUGGAGUUGGCCGAGGAUGCAAGUGUGCGAUCCCACCUCAACGAACUUGAUGAGCACAACUGCAAAUGAAGAGAGGUAACAGCAGAAUUCCGCAAAGCAAGACCAAUCGGUUCCUUCUCUAAACACUGACCAGCAAAUCUCUGAUAUGUUAUGAUCAGCAUGUCUGUAAAUUCAGUUUGUCCUGUUAUUUUGAAACCAUGAAAUCUCCCCUGAAUGUACCACUAGAGAAUUCACAUUUAUGUUUACACAUCUUGUGCCUUUUCUAAUUCUCAACAAAAAUGUCUUGUGUUGUGCAGUAUUCAGAAUAACUUCAUUUAUUUAUUUGUAUAAAAAGGAGGCCUCAAACCUUACUCAAACAGAUGACAUCACACACAGAGAAUGUUCCCAGAGGACAAUUACUGCUGGUUUAUAUUAUGUGGGAAGGUGUAUGGUGUGAACUAGCCCAGUGGAACCAGUAUUUUAGACCAAGUUAAAGCUUUUUACCACAGAUUUUACCGAUGUAAUUCCUAUACAAACACCAAAAACAGAAGCCCUUAUAAAAACCAUACAUGUACAGUACUGACUCGAAAAUGCUGGUAAAAGAUUAUGACAUUACAAGCUAUAUGACAUCUCAAAAUUAAGUCAAAUGUGUAAGAAAUAAGGUUGUACAUUUAA